UACGAAGGGGGCUAGCGUUGCUCGGAAUUACUGGGCGUAAAGGGCGCGUAGGCGGCACUGUUAGUCAGGCGUGAAAGUCCUGGGCUCAACCUGGGAACUGCGUCUGAUACUGGAUGGCUUGAAUCCGGGAGAGGGAUGCAGAAUUCCAGGUGUAGCGGUGAAAUGCGUAGAUAUCUGGAGGAAUACCGGUGGCGAAGGCGGCAUCCUGGACCGGCAUUGACGCUGAGGAGCGAAAGCUAGGGGAGCAAACGGG
Molecule: ribosomal RNA, 253 nt
Filed under: uncultured bacterium
Lineage: Bacteria
Description: partial 16S ribosomal RNA
Rfam family: Bacterial small subunit ribosomal RNA
Source: RNAcentral